This is a long non-coding RNA of Branchiostoma belcheri (Belcher's lancelet), 301 nucleotides long. RefSeq lists it as uncharacterized. Lineage: Eukaryota; Metazoa; Chordata; Leptocardii; Amphioxiformes; Branchiostomatidae. The transcript is spliced from 3 exons. The record is from RefSeq and is a predicted model, not a curated record.
GCACCUGCCAACGACGCAGGGUUCCGAACAGUGGAGACCAUCUCAGUGCACGGAGAAGGUUUCACUCUACAUGGCGACAAACACAACAGUUACUCAAGAAUACAAUUAAGAAGUGGAACAAAAUACCAGGUAAACUUCGCCAUGUCCACCCUGAGAUGCAGACUACAACAGGAAUUCACUGGCUAGCAUGAAACCUAGUCGUGGAAGGCUUGGGGUGUGCAUUCAUGUUUUGCAGCCAAGAAAAUUGAAAAACAAGCAUGGAAUGCAACAGCAUCAUGGAAGCAAAGAAAAUAAAAACUAA